This 811-nucleotide ribosomal RNA is filed under the name Ibalia sp. ZJUH 20220011. RNAcentral's name for it is "12S ribosomal RNA". The record is from RNAcentral. Lineage: Eukaryota; Metazoa; Arthropoda; Insecta; Hymenoptera; Ibaliidae.
AUAAAAUUUAAUUUAUAUUUUAAAUUAAUUUAAAAAUUUAAAUAAUAUAUAAAUUUUAGUUUAAAAUUAAUUAAAUUAAAGUUAAUUUUUUAAUAAUUAAAAUUAAUAAAUUAAAGAAAUUUUAAAUUUGUAAAAUUUUAAUAAAUAAAUUAAAAAAGUGCCAGCAAUAGCGGUUAAACUUUUUAUUAAAAAUUAAUUUAAUUAAUUUUUAAUUAAAUAUAAAAAAUUUUUAAUAAUAUAUAAAUAUUAUAUAAUUAGUAAAAUAUCUAUAUAAUAAAAUAUAAAAAUAUAUUAAUAAAUUUUUAUUAUUAUUGAAAUUAAAAAAAAAAUUAAUAAACUAGGAUUUGAUACCCUAUUAUUAAAAAUAAAAUAAAAAAUUAAUAUAGUAAAUUUAAAUAAUUAAAUAAAUAAAUUUGACGGUAUUUUAAAUUAUUCAGAGGGUCUUAUUAUAGAAUUGAUGGUCCACGAUAAGAGAUACUUAUUAUAAUUUAAUUCUUGUUUAUAAUCGUUAAAAAAUUUUUUAAUGAAAAAUUUUAUAAUAUUUUUAAAAAAAAAUUCAGAUAAAUAUGUAGAUAUUAAUAAGAUAUAAGGAGACAUAAUAAAUUUAAAUUUAAAUAAUAUUAAUUUAAUUUAAUUAAAAUUAAAAUUUGAAAGUAAAAUUAAUUUAAUUAAUUAAUUUGAUUAAAAAUAUAAAAUAUGUACAAAUCGCCCGUCAAUUUAAUUUUAUAACUAAUUAAUUUAUAAAUUAAAAAGUAUAUAAUUAAAUAAGUCGUAACAAAGUAAAAGUACUGGAAAGUGUUUUUAGAAUAAU